Oryza sativa Japonica Group (Japanese rice) is the source of this 672-nucleotide non-coding RNA. The record is from RefSeq and is a predicted model, not a curated record. NCBI's taxonomy places the organism in Eukaryota, Viridiplantae, Streptophyta, Magnoliopsida, Poales, Poaceae.
UUUCUUCAUAGUCUCAUCUUGUCGAGUCAAGACUCACCACUAUAUAUGUGUCUUGGCUUGAUCAUUGACAAAAAUGAGAAAUAAGCCUAGCAUAUUUCUUAGUACAAAGAUCUAGUGCUAUUUUUUCUUGUCGUUGAAGCUCUAAAGCAUGAGGAUUAUAUAUGGAGACAGAAACUGAAAAUGAACGGGUACUUCAUAAAUACAUGAAUUACAUUUGCACCGCCCAAACCUUGACAACAGAUGGAUGCAAACUAAUCCUGCAAAUUAUAUCUAUAUUUCUGCUUGACACUCUGCUGCGAAUCCGAAAACCUCUGAAUCUCAUGUCCCAAUCCCACUAAAGAUGGGGAGCUGAUCCAUUUUUACCUCAGGGCAAAAGAUGGUGUGUCUAUUUCAACAGCCCUGUGGUCAUUAAGCUUUGCUGCAGAUAUAUACAAAGUUAGGAAACAGUAGUUACUUGACUUUGCAAAAGGCAUUCUGCACCGAGCUAUAUAGAAGCAAGUUCAUUACAUUUUCAGUUACUUGAACUCUUAAGACUACAUCUUGUUCUUGUGAAGACUGUGAGUACACCAUUGCUCUGUUUUUUUUCUUUUUCCAGCCGGUUCUCUGUUUCCAUUCAUGUUGUUUUACCUUGAGUCAUGUUCAACAUUAUGACACAUCCAUUUUAAAAAUUCA